CCUACGGGACGCAGCAGUGAGGAAUAUUGGUCAAUGGGCGGGAGCCUGAACCAGCCAAGCCGCGUGAGGGAAGAAGGUACAGCGUAUCGUAAACCUCUUUUGUCAGGGAACAAAGGCGGGGACUAGUCCCCGGAUGAGGGUACCUGAAGAAAAAGCAUCGGCUAACUCCGUGCCAGCAGCCGCGGUAAUACGGAGGAUGCGAGCGUUAUCCGGAUUUAUUGGGUUUAAAGGGUGCGCAGGCGGCCUGUUAAGUCAGCGGUAAAAGCCCGGGGCUCAACCCCGUCGAGCCGUUGAAACUGGCGGGG
This 305-nucleotide ribosomal RNA is filed under the name uncultured bacterium. Its description in RNAcentral is "bacterial SSU rRNA". It matches the Rfam family "Bacterial small subunit ribosomal RNA", at positions 338 to 641 of the family's 1533-position model. The record is from RNAcentral.